This 94-nucleotide small nucleolar RNA is filed under the name Oryza punctata. RNAcentral describes it as "snoRNA snoZ256". It matches the Rfam family "Small nucleolar RNA Z256". From Rfam's summary of the family: Z256 is a member of the C/D class of snoRNA which contain the C (UGAUGA) and D (CUGA) box motifs. Most of the members of the box C/D family function in directing site-specific 2'-O-methylation of substrate RNAs. Lineage: Eukaryota; Viridiplantae; Streptophyta; Magnoliopsida; Poales; Poaceae. The record is from Rfam by way of RNAcentral.
AUUUGCCAAUUAUACUGACUACAACAAUCCGGGAAUGGCUGACUAGCCUCCGCAGUUACACCAUCAACAGCUGGGUUAAGUUGAAAGCCCAAUU